Halocaridina rubra (Hawaiian volcano shrimp) is the source of this 75-nucleotide non-coding RNA. The record is from the annotation of a GenBank genome assembly. Lineage: Eukaryota; Metazoa; Arthropoda; Malacostraca; Decapoda; Atyidae.
ACCUUCAGUGGUGUAGUGGUAGCGCUUGACUUAUUGAUAAUAAUUAAGUCCUAGGUUCGAGUCCCGGUCGGGGUA